This is a small nucleolar RNA of Coffea arabica (coffee), 80 nucleotides long. RefSeq annotates it as small nucleolar RNA J33. The record is from RefSeq and is a predicted model, not a curated record. NCBI's taxonomy places the organism in Eukaryota, Viridiplantae, Streptophyta, Magnoliopsida, Gentianales, Rubiaceae.
CAGUGAGAGGGAUGAUGUACUACUAUAGGGCACUGAAAAUGCUUGCCUUCCUUGAUACUGCGUCUGAGUUGGAUAUAAGG